RNAcentral lists this ribosomal RNA (591 nucleotides) under Triticum aestivum (bread wheat). RNAcentral describes it as "partial small subunit ribosomal RNA". Lineage: Eukaryota; Viridiplantae; Streptophyta; Magnoliopsida; Poales; Poaceae. The record is from RNAcentral.
AUGCCCAAUGGCUCCAUCAAGGAGAAGACGACUGCAGAUAUGGUCGAUAGGUCUAUCAACAUAGCUGCGAAAAUGAUGGAGGGGAAGAAGAAUGAGAGCAAGUCAAAGACGAAUAAGGGGAUCAAAGUGAAGAAGAGAGUGCGGACAUGCAAGAAGAGGGAUGGCAAGAAGCCACAAAAGAAGAGGCCCGUUGUUGACAUGGGUGAGGUGUUCUACUACUACGACGGGUUUGGCCCCUCACGCACCUCCAAGAGGCAUUGCAGAUCAAGCGGUGAUAAUAGUGUGCUGGAAGAAUCUCCACUACCCAUUGAACAACAGAAAGAUGAGGCAUGCACCCGAACACAAUUUGAUUUUAGUGCAAGUCAAGCUAAUGUCACUGACCAUCAGGCUCUGCUGACAUCAACACAGGUUGAGAAGCCUAGGCUGAAUGGGAGCAAUGCCAACAUUGUUAGCUGCCAUGAGGAGAGCAGCAACGACGACGCACCUGGUUGCAACGGCAAACAACUGCGCAACAUUAUGAUGAUGAAGAGCCCGUUCAAGAAGAGGUGGAGGAAGCAUGUUAAAGCCCGAUCGCUCAAGUCGCUGAUGUAA